AUUCGCCCUUAGAGUUUGAUCCUGGCUCAGGACGAACGCUGGCGGCGUGCCUAACACAUGCAAGUCGAGCGGAGACUUAUCGAAUGAAGUUUUCGGAUGGAUUUUGAUAAGUUUUAGCGGCGGACGGGUGAGUAACGCGUGAGCAACCUGCCCUCUACUGGGGAACAACACAUCGAAAGAUGUGCUAAUACCGCAUAAGACCACAGUGCUGACAUGGUACAGGGGUCAAAGGAGCAAUUCGGUAGAGGAUGGGCUCGCGUCUGAUUAGCUAGUUGGUGAGGUAACGGCCCACCAAGGCGACGAUCAGUAGCCGGACUGAGAGGUUGACCGGCCACAUUGGGACUGAGAUACGGCCCAGACUCCUACGGGAGGCAGCAGUGGGGAAUAUUGGGCAAUGGACGCAAGUCUGACCCAGCAACGCCGCGUGAAGGAAGAAGGCUUUCGGGUUGUAAACUUCUUUUAAGGGGGAAGAGCAGAAGACGGUACCCCUUGAAUAAGCCACGGCUAACUACGUGCCAGCAGCCGCGGUAAUACGUAGGUGGCAAGCGUUGUCCGGAUUUACUGGGUGUAAAGGGCGUGUAGCCGGGUCGGCAAGUCAGAUGUGAAAUCCACGGGCUUAACUCGUGAACUGCAUUUGAAACUGUUGAUCUUGAGUAUCGGAGAGGUAAUCGGAAUUCCUUGUGUAGCGGUGAAAUGCGUAGAUAUAAGGAAGAACACCAGUGGCGAAGGCGGAUUACUGGACGACAACUGACGGUGAGGCGCGAAAGCGUGGGGAGCAAACAGGAUUAGAUACCCUGGUAGUCCACGCUGUAAACGAUGGAUACUAGGUGUGCGGGGACUGACCCCCUGCCGUGCCGCCAUUAACACAAUAAAGAUCCCCACAUGGGGAGUAAGAUUGCAAGGUUGAAACUCAAAGGAAUAGACGGGGGCCCGCACAAGCGGUGGAUUAUGUGGUUUAAUUUGAAGCAACGCGAAGAACCUUACCAGGGCUUGACAUCCUACUAACGAAGUAGAGAUACAUCAGGUGCCCUUCGGGGAAAGUAGAGACAGGUGGUGCAUGGUUGUCGUCAGCUGGUGUCGUGAGAUGUUGGGUUAAGUCCCGCAACGAGCGCAACCCCUAUUGUUAGUUGCUACGCAAGAGCACUCUAGCGAGACUGCCGUUGACAAAACGGAGGAAGGUGGGGACGACGUCAAAUCAUCAUGCCCCUUAUGUCCUGGGCUACACACGUAAUACAAUGGCGGUCAACAGAGGGAUGCAAAGUCGCGAGGCAGAGCGAACCCCCAAAAGCCGUCCCAGUUCGGAUUGCAGGCUGCAAC
Molecule: ribosomal RNA, 1317 nt
Filed under: uncultured bacterium
Lineage: Bacteria
Description: bacterial SSU rRNA
Rfam family: Bacterial small subunit ribosomal RNA
Source: RNAcentral